UACGAAGGGGGCAAGCGUUGUUCGGAUUUACUGGGCGUAAAGGGCGCGUAGGCGGUGCGGUAAGUCACUUGUGAAAUCUCUGAGCUUAACUCAGAACGGCCAAGUGAUACUGCAGUACUAGAGUGCAGAAGGGGCAAUCAGAAUUCUUGGUGUAGCGGUGAAAUGCGUAGAUAUCGGGAGGAACACCAGUGGCGAAGGCGAGUCCCUGGAAAACUCCUGACACUGAGGCACGAAAGCUAGGGGAGCAAACAGG
This 253-nucleotide ribosomal RNA is filed under the name uncultured bacterium. RNAcentral's name for it is "partial 16S ribosomal RNA". It matches the Rfam family "Bacterial small subunit ribosomal RNA", at positions 524 to 776 of the family's 1533-position model. The record is from RNAcentral.